This 314-nucleotide unclassified non-coding RNA is filed under the name plant metagenome. Its description in RNAcentral is "partial contains 5.8S ribosomal RNA, internal transcribed spacer 2, and large subunit ribosomal RNA". The stretch from base 1 to 105 matches the Rfam family "5.8S ribosomal RNA", at positions 50 to 154 of the family's 154-position model. The record is from RNAcentral.
GAAAUGCGAUAAUUAAUGUGAAUUGCAGAAUUCAGUGAAUCAUCGAGUCUUUGAACGCACAUUGCGCCCCCUGGUAUUCCGGGGGGCAUGCCUGUCCGAGCGUCAUUGUUGCCCUCAAGCACGGCUUGUGUGUUGGGCUUCCGUCCCUGGCAACGGGGACGGGCCCAAAAGGCAGUGGCGGCACCAUGUCUGGUCCUCGAGCGUAUGGGGCUUUGUCACCCGCUCCCGUAGGUCCAGCUGGCAGCUAGCCUCGCAACCAAUCUUUUUAACCAGUUUGACCUCGGAUCAGGUAGGGAUACCCGCUGAACUUAAGC